Molecule: ribosomal RNA, 253 nt
Filed under: uncultured bacterium
Lineage: Bacteria
Description: partial 16S ribosomal RNA
Rfam family: Bacterial small subunit ribosomal RNA
Source: RNAcentral
UACAGAGGGUGCGAGCGUUAAUCGGAAUUACUGGGCGUAAAGCGUGCGUAGACGGUUAUUUAAGUCGGAUGUGAAAGCCCCGGGCUCAACCUGGGAAUUGCAUUCGAGACUGAAUAGCUAGGGUACGGUAGAGGGAAGCGGAAUUUCCGGUGUAGCGGUGAAAUGCGUAGAUAUCGGAAGGAACAUCAGUGGCGAAAGCGGCUUCCUGGACCAGUACCGACGUUCAGGCACGAAAGCGUGGGGAGCAAACAAG